UGCUAGGUUCGGAAGGAACCCGACGAGACGCGCCGUACCGGGUCGAAGGCAAAGACGACGCACC
RNAcentral lists this non-coding RNA (64 nucleotides) under Streptomyces sp. RNAcentral also lists the same sequence under 1 other name. Lineage: Bacteria; Bacillati; Actinomycetota; Actinomycetes; Kitasatosporales; Streptomycetaceae. The record is from RNAcentral.